This 253-nucleotide ribosomal RNA is filed under the name uncultured bacterium. Its description in RNAcentral is "partial 16S ribosomal RNA". It matches the Rfam family "Bacterial small subunit ribosomal RNA", at positions 524 to 776 of the family's 1533-position model. The record is from RNAcentral.
UACGGAGGGUGCGAGCGUUGUCCGGAAUCACUGGGCGUAAAGGGCGCGUAGGCGGCUUCUUAAGCGGGCGGUGAAAGCCCGGGGCUCAACCCCGGGUCGGCCGUGCGAACUGGGAAGCUCGAGCACUGUAGAGGCAGGUGGAAUUCCGGGUGUAGCGGUGGAAUGCGUAGAGAUCCGGAAGAACACCGGUGGCGAAGGCGGCCUGCUGGGCAGUGGCUGACGCUGAGGCGCGACAGCGUGGGGAGCAAACAGG